This 2779-nucleotide long non-coding RNA is filed under the name Zostera marina. Its description in RNAcentral is "long non-coding RNA (ZMAR_LNC003400)". Lineage: Eukaryota; Viridiplantae; Streptophyta; Magnoliopsida; Alismatales; Zosteraceae. The record is from RNAcentral.
GGUGGUUGAGAAGAUUGCGGAUGGUCGUAUCAGGGAGAUCACAUUCCACCAAUGCAUCGAUAUCUUGUAUCACCUCACAUUUUGCCGCCGGGAAGGUUUGGAUCUUUGACCAUAUUUGAAUGAGAAGAGCUUCUCCCUCCAUGUUGUUGUUGUUGUAGGCGGUGGUUUGCGGUCUCUGGAGACUACUAUAGUAAGGGUGAAGGAUGUCGGCGAGGAGUUCGUCGAUGAGUUCGAAGAGGAGUUUACGGUUGCACCGGUGUUUUAGCUGGCCUUUGGGGUGAUGUGACCAUGUGGAGUUGAGCUCGAGCUGGUGGAAGAUAAUGGGGUCCAGUGGAUGGUACGGGGAAUUCCAUCUCACAGAAACUAGACGGGAUGUCCGAGAACGAAUUCCGGCCUUUUCCAGCACUCGUUUUACAUACUGCAGUUCCUCCGGCACCGGUGAUGUCUUUGGUCGAUGUGUCUGAAUCGCUGGUUUGUUAUCUUUCUUGACAGCAACAUUGGGUGGUUUUAGUGGUGGUAUAUUAAUCAAUUUGCCGAUCGACCUUUUCGGUGGACGCGGCGGCGAUGUUGAGGAGGAUUUCGAAGGGAUGAAGAAAGGAUUUUUUGUCGAAGAAUCCGCCGGAGGUUUCUUAAGCCUCUCGUUGAAUCUAUCAGAGCUUACUUUCUUGCAUUUUGGUGACGGUUUCGGUGUUGUUUUGAUUUUUGACGUCAGUACUUCUGGUACUUGUUGAAUUGCUCGGGGAGAGCACACCGUCGACGGUGGUGUCUGAUUUUGUCUGCUCGUCGAUGAUCGUGCCUUUUCGAUUCUUCUGUUGACAACACUAUUCUUCAUCUGCCUCACGAUCUCCCUAGCAUACCGACUGGGACUGUUAGUCUGUUCUUCCACCACGUGACGCAUCUUCAUCGGCAACAGCAACGACGGCGAGGAGGACGAGUAGUCCAGAAACGCACUCUUCAGCUCUUGCAUUGCCGAAGCCGACAAGUUCCCUCUAACAUUGACAUUGACAUUCUCCUUAUUGAUACAGGAAUUGCCAGGGACCGAGUGCCGAGGAUCGGAAUCUCCGGACCGCCGUGCAGACGAUAUUCUCGGAGUCUCCGGCAAAGAUCUCGUCCCCCGGCGAGUGUCGUCGCAGACCAUCAUCAUAUUAGAAUUUCUCGGUUGAAGUGGAUGACGUGGCGGUGGUGUCUGUGACGUCAUUUUCUGCUGUUCCUUCUUUCUUCUGCUAUGGUAAUAGUAUUGUUUCUUCUUAGAUACCAACGCCUUAUCGUCGGCGUUUGAGUACGUUCUCGGACUACGAAAAUCAUCACCAUUCGAAACGACGUCCAAUCCCAUCAACUUCGCCACUACAUUCGCCGUACUACUCCGAGCACUCGAAACUUGCUGCGAAUUCUCCUCAUCCUCCACACACGCCGCCGCCUUCCUCCUCGGAAUAACUUGGAUUCCAAACUGCAUUCAAAAAAGCAAUUAAUCACGGGAACAGCUAACUAGCUAACCCCACAGAAAAAGAAGAAGAAGAAGACGCACAGGAAUCUCAUAGUCAUCAGAAGCGUCCAAUAUUACAGAAGCAGACGACGCGUUGGUGGACACAUCAAAUUCCAGACUAUUCCUUGGCGCCUCCACGCCUUUCGCCAUGUCGGUGAUCUUCGGAGGAGUUACGACGAUCCCAUCACUCGACGCUCUGGUUGCGAAGAGUAGUUGGUGAAGAUCGAAGAAGUGGAACACACCACUCAUGCACCCUGCAACAUGUGUUGUCUGCUGUUUCUCCACUCCAGUGCCGGCGCCGGUGCCGGACUUUCUGAAUGUCUUGGUCCAGUUCCACUCCUUGCCCAUGAGGUACGGCCGGAGGAGGAGGAAGAGAAGUGGAAUGUCGGUAAUGAUAUGGGUUUGAGAGGGGGAGAGAAGGAUGGUUGUUAUUAUGGGGAAUUGAAAUCAAAGAUGAGAGGGAGAGAAGGAUGACGAAAUGCAUACGCCCGUUGGAAAGAUAUACAGAUCUACAGCAAAAACCCCCUAUAUUUUUGAAAUAUUCCUUUUCAGUCCAAAUCGAAUAUUCGUAUCAAAAAUAAUUAUUAAAAUUUUAAACUCCUCAAUCCUCAUAAAUGAUAAAUCGAUAAAAUCAUUAAUUCAAAAAGUAAAAAACACACCUAACAGAGUAAAAAAAAACAGUAAAAAAAUCAAAAUCUCUGUAAAUUAAUUUUCUAAAUUAUGGUAAAAGAUUCUCUUUUUAUACCAAUUAUAUUAAACUUUUGAAUUUUUUUUUAGGUCUUUUUUGGAAAAGGUUGAAGAGGGUUGAAAAGUGUGAGGAACAACUGAGCAACUGAAUAAGGGAUUUGUAAUUUUUUUCUUUUGUUUUGUGAAUGACCAAAGUGUACAAUACAAAAGAAAGGGGUGGGAAUUCAAAAAUGAUUUGUAUGUUUCGUCUUGGGAACAUCACAUUGUGGAUAGAAGCAUGGAGAUCGUGGUAACAAGGCAGAAUUUGAUUCAGGAAACAUGUGGUUUCUGCAACAAAAUGUCAGUAUAUUUGUCAGCAGACAGAGAGUUUUAAGUUUAAAAUUUUGUUUAUUUUUAACUGUUCUGUUAAUUUUUAUAAACUUUAUUCCCAGAUCCAAAGAUUGCUGACAAUUUUGACUGGGUUUAAUCAAAAUUACAAUUUAAAAAAAAGACUGGGUUUAAGUGAUGAGAUUAGAAGUUAGAAAAAAAGACCAUGAUUGAAAUGCAGAAGGGCUUUAAAAAAAUUGCAGUAUUUUCUUACACAAUUUCAUUCAAUAACACCAAUGAAUG